CUAUAAUGCAGUCGUACGCUUCUUUUUCCACCGGAGCUUGCUCCACCGGAAAAAGAGGAGUGGCGAACGGGUGAGUAACACGUGGGUAACCUGCCCAUCAGAAGGGGAUAACACUUGGAAACAGGUGCUAAUACCGUAUAACAAUCGAAACCGCAUGGUUUUGAUUUGAAAGGCGCUUUCGGGUGUCGCUGAUGGAUGGACCCGCGGUGCAUUAGCUAGUUGGUGAGGUAACGGCUCACCAAGGCCACGAUGCAUAGCCGACCUGAGAGGGUGAUCGGCCACAUUGGGACUGAGACACGGCCCAAACUCCUACGGGAGGCAGCAGUAGGGAAUCUUCGGCAAUGGACGAAAGUCUGACCGAGCAACGCCGCGUGAGUGAAGAAGGUUUUCGGAUCGUAAAACUCUGUUGUUAGAGAAGAACAAGGAUGAGAGUAACUGUUCAUCCCUUGACGGUAUCUAACCAGAAAGCCACGGCUAACUACGUGCCAGCAGCCGCGGUAAUACGUAGGUGGCAAGCGUUGUCCGGAUUUAUUGGGCGUAAAGCGAGCGCAGGCGGUUUCUUAAGUCUGAUGUGAAAGCCCCCGGCUCAACCGGGGAGGGUCAUUGGAAACUGGGAGACUUGAGUGCAGAAGAGGAGAGUGGAAUUCCAUGUGUAGCGGUGAAAUGCGUAGAUAUAUGGAGGAACACCAGUGGCGAAGGCGGCUCUCUGGUCUGUAACUGACGCUGAGGCUCGAAAGCGUGGGGAGCAAACAGGAUUAGAUACCCUGGUAGUCCACGCCGUAAACGAUGAGUGCUAAGUGUUGGGAGGGUUUCCGCCCUUCAGUGCUGCAGCUAACGCAUUAAGCACUCCGCCUGGGGAGUACGACCGCAAGGUUGAAACUCAAAGGAAUUGACGGGGGCCCGCACAAGCGGUGGAGCAUGUGGUUUAAUUCGAAGCAACGCGAAGAACCUUACCAGGUCUUGACAUCCUUUGACCACUCUAGAGAUAGAGCUUCCCCUUCGGGGGCAAAGUGACAGGUGGUGCAUGGUUGUCGUCAGCUCGUGUCGUGAGAUGUUGGGUUAAGUCCCGCAACGAGCGCAACCCUUAUUGUUAGUUGCCAUCAUUCAGUUGGGCACUCUAGCA
This 1123-nucleotide ribosomal RNA is filed under the name Enterococcus lactis. RNAcentral's name for it is "bacterial SSU rRNA". It matches the Rfam family "Bacterial small subunit ribosomal RNA", at positions 51 to 1145 of the family's 1533-position model. The record is from RNAcentral. Lineage: Bacteria; Bacillati; Bacillota; Bacilli; Lactobacillales; Enterococcaceae.